Molecule: ribosomal RNA, 254 nt
Filed under: uncultured bacterium
Lineage: Bacteria
Description: partial 16S ribosomal RNA
Rfam family: Bacterial small subunit ribosomal RNA
Source: RNAcentral
GACGUAGGGGGCGAGCGUUGUCCGGAUUUAUUGGGCGUAAAGAGCUCGUAGGCGGUUCGAUAAGUCGGACGUGAAAUCUCCACGCUCAACGUGGAGGGGCCGUUCGAUACUGUCGUGACUCGAGUCCGGUAGGGGAGUGUGGAAUUCCCGGUGUAGCGGUGAAAUGCGCAGAGAUCGGGAGGAACACCCGUAGCGAAGGCGGCACUCUGGGCCGGUACUGACGCUGAGGAGCGAAAGCGUGGGGAGCAAACAGG